This 253-nucleotide ribosomal RNA is filed under the name uncultured bacterium. RNAcentral describes it as "partial 16S ribosomal RNA". It matches the Rfam family "Archaeal small subunit ribosomal RNA", at positions 474 to 727 of the family's 1478-position model. The record is from RNAcentral.
UACCAGCACCCCGAGUGGUCGGGACGUUUAUUGGGCCUAAAGCAUCCGUAGCCGGUUCUACAAGUCUUCCGUUAAAUCCAACUGCUUAACAGGUGGGCUGCGGAAGAUACUAUAGAGCUAGGAGGCGGGAGAGGCAAGCGGUACUCGAUGGGUAGGGGUAAAAUCCGUUGAUCCAUUGAAGACCACCAGUGGCGAAGGCGGCUUGCCAGAACGCGCUCGACGGUGAGGGAUGGAAGCUGGGGGAGCAAACCGG